This 1374-nucleotide ribosomal RNA is filed under the name Triticum aestivum (bread wheat). RNAcentral's name for it is "partial small subunit ribosomal RNA". Lineage: Eukaryota; Viridiplantae; Streptophyta; Magnoliopsida; Poales; Poaceae. The record is from RNAcentral.
AUGCGCCUCAACACUGAAGCCAUUGCCGGACUGCCGUGCUUAGAAGAAGCACUUGGCUGUUUUCGUGAUGCCGGUCUGCUCAGCUUUGUGACAGACAAAGAACACUGGAAUGAAGAAUUGUUGCUUCAAUUCUAUGCUACCCUCCACAUUCGCGGCUACAACAGAGAUAUCAAGACAUGGGUUCUCGAGUGGAUUACCGAAAAUGUUCAUCAUGAAGCUAAAGCACUGGAUAUCAUUGAGCUUACAUGCCUAGCCACUCUAGAAGAGCUAUAUGAACCUGUUUGUCAACUAUACUGCAAUGCACUGGAGAGCAUCUUCCAUAAGCCAGAACCCAACAUGAGCCAGAUGUUGAGCAUGAUGAAGCCUUUGCCAUCUGACACUGAAUAUCCAACAGAGUUCUUUGUUGACGACCUUGAGUAUCUGCCGUGCACAAUAUAUCAUAUUAUCAGGCGAACUCUAUGGCCUAUCAAAGGACAUUCAUCAGCGGCCAAGCUUGAAGGAGCCAUGAAGACUUUGGUCUUUUACAUCCUCAAUGGCAUCAGCUUCAAUUCCCAAGAAUUCUUCAUCAGGCAACUUGCUGCUUCUGGAUCUGACCUAUUUGGUCUAAAAUUCUAUGCUGCAUGGGUCAUGCGCCUCAUCAAGCGACACUCCUCUGUCAAUUAUCAUCCCUCUGCUCGCAAUCAUCUGAUCUUUUUACCAGAGGUUGAUAUGUCAGUUGAAGCCAUAUACUCUGACCCUGCCAAGAAGCCUCUUUGUCUUCAGAAUGUCGAGCACCAAAGCUUCACUCAACCCAUUGAAGGCGUCCAAGAUGUGAAAUGUAUCUAUCCAAUGGCUGGAAAUACUCGUCUGCCUCAUCGUGCGAAUAUUGAAGCCACUGAAAGCACCAUUGCCCAAAGGCCUCGGAAGCGCUCUCGCGUUCUCAAUGACCGAGAACUUCUUGUGACCCUUCAUCAGAAACAAGAUAAGCAUCAUUAUUGGCUCAAGAGACAGAUGCAAAGCCUCUUGGUGGACGUCAAUCGCAUUCGAAAUCUUGCCACCAAGAAUGCAUUUGUUGCUCACGAGACUUGCCGAAGAUCAUGGAAGAGUUUGACGCUGCUCAUUGCUGAAGCAGAUCUUCAAGACAAUGGCUUCACUGAAAGAUUCAAGUUUGACUCCACUCCUCCACGGACUGCAGUCCUACGUCGAAAUCCAUCCCUUGAAGACUCUUACUAUUCUUCCUCAGCGGCAACUGUGAAUGCCAGAGUGAUCGAUGAUGAAGAUGAUGCUACUUCACCGCCUCCUACUUUUGCACGCAUCGACACUGCACCAAGUACGUCUGCACCGCCAAGCAACAACGACAACCCUGCUACUUCACCUACUCAUGAGGACGAGUAG